Long non-coding RNA from Entelurus aequoreus (snake pipefish), 1133 nucleotides. RefSeq lists it as uncharacterized. The record is from RefSeq and is a predicted model, not a curated record. NCBI's taxonomy places the organism in Eukaryota, Metazoa, Chordata, Actinopteri, Syngnathiformes, Syngnathidae. The transcript is spliced from 3 exons.
AAAACAGUGUUGUACCCUGAAAUCCGGGCUCUCGUGGCAGUGUGUGGUGGUCCGCAGAACCCACUAGAGGGCAACCUCUACAGACGCAGAGCCACCUUCUCGGGGAAGACCCGCACCACGUGCUGCUUCCCGAAGGCGGACGAGAGCAGGUAGCAGAACGUGGAGCCCGUGGUGGUGAGCAAGCACGCCAGGGCCAGACCCUCCCACGGCCCGAAUAUCGCGCCGGCGAGCAUGUUCUGCCACGACGGAGGAGAGAAGUGGAUCAGACGUUGACGGUUUCUGACCCGGUCCACGUGAAGGAUUGUUAAUAAUCCAAAAGCGUCAACACAAGAAGACAACGCAGACUCACCAGGAAGGAGGAACCAGGAAUGGCGAAGGACUGCUUGUAGAGGGAAAGUUGGCUAUUUUUGACUCUUUUCUGCAGUCUUUGAGACCGAGGCAUGUCACAUGAAAGCACAGCGGAAAAGCAUCGAGGACGCGCUUGAAAUGCUCGGAGAAAGCUGACAAAUUCCGCCCGAGGCUCAAGCUAACGAGAGGCGACGUGCAAAAGAGGAGAGAAGAAGAGCCUCGGAUCUCUCCUUGAGGAGGCGUUUGAGUGCGUCUUGUAGAUCACGCCUGCUCGCCAAAAUAACAAGAGGCCACCGCGACACAUUUCCCUCCAGAAAUACUGGACAUCCCCGGGUUCAAGUGUCGCCUUCCUGGUUGACUCGCUGGCCAAUCACCCGGCGACAUGUUGGGGCCAGCAGCCAGUCAGAAGGAGCCGUGAUCAAAGUCCCAGCAGCUGCUGGACCAGGACCACGGAUUGAUUUACACGGGCCUUCGAGUGUGUGUGUGUGUGUGUGUGUGUGUGUUUUUCUACCCUCUGUGCUAUUUCUGCCCUCCAAUCAAACGUAUCCUUACACUCAAACAUAAAUAUAAACAACUAAAUUAAUGUAUAUAUUGAUUAUAAUUUGUGUCUAAGUACGUCGCAUAUGAAUAAAAACAAAGAAAUUAGAGUAUACUGUACAUAAUUUAAAGGCCUACUGAAAUGAAAUGUUCUUAUUUAAACGGGGAUAGCAGAUCCAUUCUAUGUGUCAUACUUGAUCAUUUCGCGAUAUUGCCAUAUUUUUGCUGAAAGGAUUUAGUAGAGAACA